Molecule: ribosomal RNA, 497 nt
Filed under: uncultured bacterium
Lineage: Bacteria
Description: partial 16S ribosomal RNA
Rfam family: Bacterial small subunit ribosomal RNA
Source: RNAcentral
GAUGAACGCUGGCGGCGUGCCUAAUACAUGCUAGUCGAGCGAACAGACGAGGAGCUUGCUCCUCUGACGUUAGCGGCGGACGGGUGAGUAACACGUGGAUAACCUACCUAUAAGACUGGGAUAACUUCGGGAAACCGGAGCUAAUACCGGAUAAUAUAUUGAACCGCAUGGUUCAAUAGUGAAAGACGGUUUUGCUGUCACUUAUAGAUGGAUCCGCGCCGCAUUAGCUAGUUGGUAAGGUAACGGCUUACCAAGGCAACGAUUCGUAGCCGACCUGAGAGGGUGAUCGGCCACACUGGAACUGAGACACGGUCCAGACGCCUACGGGAGGCAGCAGUUGGGAAUCUUCCGCAAUGGGCGAAAGCUUGACGGAGCAACGCCGCGUUAGUGAUGAAGGGCUUCGGAUCGUAAAACUCUGUUAUUAGGGAAGAACAAAUGUGUAAGUAACUAUGCACGUCUUGACGGUACCUAAUCAGAAAGCCACGGCUAACUACGUG